UGUGGGAGCUGGCUUGCCUGCGAUAGCGGAGUGUCAGUCAAUAAUUUUUAACUGAUACACCGCCAUCGCAGGCAAGCCAGCUCCCACA
Molecule: unclassified non-coding RNA, 88 nt
Filed under: Pseudomonas yamanorum
Lineage: Bacteria; Pseudomonadati; Pseudomonadota; Gammaproteobacteria; Pseudomonadales; Pseudomonadaceae
Source: RNAcentral